CGCCGUGUUGAAUGGACCGCAGGCAAAACGUGCAGUAGAUGUGACCACACAGCAGCACCCGAGGGAGGUUGCAGUCAGCUUCAGCCUCUGGAGAAGUAACGGCUCAAUGAAGACAAGUACGAUGACUUCAUCAACUGGAAUCUCCAAGUUCGAGAACCGCUGUCAGCCUCCACAGCAGACCUGGCGGCAGCAUGUGGUCGCGUCCUCCAUGUGAGCGCCGCCGCCUGAGGACCGCGUCCAGCCAGCGAGGCGGCGGUAACCCGCGGUGACGGCUGAUGGCGGGCAGCGAAGCGCAGGCUUCACACGGCAAAGGUAGACGGCCUGGUCCACAACACGCCCAGAAUUGGACACAAGUUUUACCAGCACAAUGAAUCCAGCCCCUAACACUGAUGUGAGGUGUGAGAAGACCUCCAGCUGUGAAGUAGAGCUGGACAUCAGCACAAAGAACCACACAAGAAGAUGAUGCAAUACAAAUUAAAUGCACAAAGUUCACAGCCUGAAUUCAGCUGCAGUUACGAAUGAAUCUGAUCAGUGAAGGAAUCUGGACGUGGGUCUUUAUCAGGGCAGGGUGAUCAUAGACCGGCUGCAGGGGGGAGGGUGUGUGUGCAUGUGUGUGCACAUGGGUGGGGGGUCGCAGACGUGUUUACUGUAGGUAAUGAACCAAUCAGAGAGAUGCUUGGGGAGCGGGCUGUUGGAGGAAUGGGGGUUACCCCCAUCUUUCCUCUGCGGAAAUGUGGGUCACUUCCCAUCCUCGGGUGAUUUCCCCUGUGUUUGUGUAGGAACAAUAACCCCCGCCCCCUAAAACCAUUAUCACAUCACUUACUCAUUACUGAAGCUCCUAAUUAAACUGUGUGGUCUCAUUAGCUCUCCCCUGAUGUCUCACAUAAGCCCAGAACAACCAUCCAACUGCUUCAUUGUUAUUAUCCAGCUAUUUCCUCAACAAUUUAUUGUGGGUCAUGUCGUGUGAAGGGAGGUGGUGUUCAGAGGAAGCCGCCUGUUUGUGUGUGCACCUCAUGGACCCCCUGCUGCUCCCGUAGGGCUCAGAAGAGAAAUAUAGCAAACCAGGAAUGGUUUAAUUGGAUUGACAGCCCUCCAGAAGACAAAUGUGUCCUGGGAGCCGUCAGAUGAGCGUUUAAGGUGCGUGAAGGAAGAGAUGCUAGAAUAAAUGUCCCCCGUGUUAGUAAAACGAACAGCGUCUUCCCUCCUGAGUGUCUGACAAAACAAACAAAGAAAGGUCAGCAGACACAAAGCCAGGACACUCAGGGAUGGGCUCUGAGUGGUUGCCCCCCGCAGGCCACGUGGUCACAGCAUGAAAAGAGCAUGGCCGAUGGUACGUGACAGUUGCUUAAUGCCGUCCAUAACCUUUUGUCUGGUCAAAGAAAGACCUACGGAGCUAUUUUGCGGAGGAUUCUCCUCCAACAGCAAGACGACCGCUCACACCUACAACACAAAAGCGCAGCAAAUCUGUGCAACUCUCUCUUGAUGCUUAAAAACCCUACACAUUCUGCCCGUUCUGCUUUACUGAACGCUUCUAAAGGUGACUUUGCUUCGUGGAUCUGCCAGAGAACAGUGGUCCCGAUUAGAUCCAGGUCAGCUGACACAAACACACACGUGACUGCUCUUUUUCACGUGAACUGACCGCAUCAAUACACACGAUGCAGAUGAUGGUGAUACUGGGGCUGCGGGAUGUUCCCCAUCAUGCCCACAGGUCUCAGGUUGAGUCAAUGCUGCCUUGACCAUUGGUUUUUAAGGUUUGGGUCCUUUUCAGUGAUGAAGUGAAUCCUGUUUAGUCUCAGGUUGUGUGUUUGCUACACUCUAUAUCAUUUUAAUCAUUUUAUAUGGAUCCAUACUGUACCGAUGGCACUUUACUCUAAGAUUCUUAAUUCUCCUUUACAACGUAGGACAGAUACAUGUGAUGUGUGCAUGAAAUGUACUGAUUCCAGCUUUAGUUCAUCUGUAAUAAGCUCGACUUGGACCAGCGAAGCUCUACCGCCAGUGAGAAUCAUGGCUGCAUCGAUGAUCCCUCACUGGCUUCCCACCAACAUAUACAUAUCCCGCUUGAUCCGUCCAGAUUAAAAUGUCUCUGCCUGUU
Long non-coding RNA from Betta splendens (Siamese fighting fish), 2092 nucleotides. RefSeq lists it as uncharacterized. The record is from RefSeq and is a predicted model, not a curated record. The transcript is spliced from 2 exons. Lineage: Eukaryota; Metazoa; Chordata; Actinopteri; Anabantiformes; Osphronemidae.